RNAcentral lists this ribosomal RNA (425 nucleotides) under uncultured bacterium. Its description in RNAcentral is "partial 16S ribosomal RNA". It matches the Rfam family "Bacterial small subunit ribosomal RNA", at positions 354 to 796 of the family's 1533-position model. The record is from RNAcentral.
GUGGGGAAUAUUGCACAAUGGGGGAAACCCUGAUGCAGCGACGCGGAGUGAGUGAAGAAGUAUUUCGGUACGUAAAGCUCUAUCAGCAAGGAAGAAAAUGACGGUACUUGACUACGAAGCCCCGGCUAACUACGUGCCAGCAGCCGCGGUAAUACGUAGGGGGCAAGCGUUAUCCGGAUUUACUGGGUGUAAAGGGAGCGUAGACGUUAUGGUAAGUCAGAUGUGAAAGCCCGGGGCUCAAACCCGGGACUGCAUUUGAAACGAUCAGACUAGAGAGCAGGAGAGGUAAGUGGAAUUCCUAGUGUAGCGGUGAAAUGCGUAGAUAUUAGGAGGAACACCAGUGGCUAAGGCGGCUUACUGGACUGUAACUGACGUUGAGGCUCGAAAGCGUGGGGAGCAAACAGGAUUAGAUACCCCAGUAGUCC